Molecule: long non-coding RNA, 1257 nt
Organism: Drosophila gunungcola (fruit fly)
Lineage: Eukaryota; Metazoa; Arthropoda; Insecta; Diptera; Drosophilidae
Exons: 3
Source: RefSeq, a predicted model, not a curated record
GGGAAAACCAGUCUUAUACACAUGCAUCUCUCGGCUUUUCAGUUUUCGUUUUUCAUCCGAUUAAAGAAUGCAAGUUUUUUGUUUCCAAAUCCAAAUCCCUCCAGCCGUCGUGUUAAUUUUGGUAGCCGAAAACUGGUUUUCAAGAUUAUAGAACUCCUCCGCCGUCUAGGCACCAGAAACAACUGGUAUUUAUAAUGUUUUAACGCUUAGUUAGGAAACAAACAGACGAGAGAAAAAGAAACGCUAAGUUUAAGCUGGAUUUUGGAAUUUUUAUGGAAUGUUUCCAUUGUCUAUGUUCUAAGACACCUCAUCUGUUGUUUGUUCAUCUUCUUUUCCAACAAAGAGUCGGACUUCAUCGAUUCCAUUUUUUAUUAGCAUCGAGACAAUCAAUUUCCCAACACUUAAACACUCCCAGAUGAAUCAUUAAAGAACUAAAACUAAUAGCCAACUCAUAUAUCAUCCAAUGAUCAUAUAUAAGAGUGAGGAGGAAAAGCCAACCGCCAAGACCGAAGUCUGUGAUUUAUGCGCAAUUUCAUACGCCACUGCAUAUUUAAUGAUUGUUUGCGCAACAAUUACAAGGAAAUUGCCAGAACAAAGCAGAACACAUCGCAGAGAUCCGUGUGGGUUUUAUCAAUCAAACACAAAGAGGUGUAGUAGAGCCGGGCAAUAUUGAAUUGUUAUGAAGCUAUCAUUUCAAAAAUAGAAAUAAAAAAAUUUAACUUGGCUAAAAUUACAUUAAAAAACUUGCAGAACAAAAUUGUUAUAUUUUCAUUUUUGUAAGAAACAAUCAACAUUAUGAAUAAUUAUAGACAGGGUAUGAAACUUAUUUUUAUAAACAAUGAAACAUAUAUAUUUUGGCAUUUGUUAUUAUUAUAACUAUGACAAGUAAUAAUAGUUGUAUUAUUAAAAGAUUAUGCUAAGGUAAUGAAUAUUUGACCCCUUCAGCCCAGGCCACUGGUUCAAAAACAUACUGAAACCAUUACAGAAAAAACUCAUGCAAAGUGCAAGUGGGAGGCGUCCAUUGAGAGAAUUUUGGCGACAACAACCAGAAACAACUGGAUCAACAACACAACAACUAACAACACAAUGGGAAUACUAAGGCAAUAUGCAGUAAUAAGCAAUAAAUGGAAAUAAAGGUCAAGUUUAAGUGAUGGCGAUGACGAGAGAAGUAAAAAACAGAAAUACAAAACAAAAUACGAAGGCAAAAAACUGACAGAAUCUACAGAUGUAAUGAAAAAUAAACGAAUAAAAAAAAUA